This is a long non-coding RNA of Scylla paramamosain (green mud crab), 919 nucleotides long. RefSeq lists it as uncharacterized. Lineage: Eukaryota; Metazoa; Arthropoda; Malacostraca; Decapoda; Portunidae. The transcript has 5 exons. The record is from RefSeq and is a predicted model, not a curated record.
UCGAGGUGGUGUGAUGGAUGAAGGUGUGUAGUGAGUAUGUGUGGUGUGUGGCGUGUGGUGGCCGUAGCUCCCAUGUCGGCGGUGCAUCAGCUGGGCGGUGGCGGCGGUAUGGAUGCUGUGUGGUCACCAUGGUAACGGGAGAGGCUGGCGGUGGUGGCGGUGGACGGGCAGGCGCGAGGGACACACGGGGAUCGAUGUGCUGGGCGGGGACUCUUGCUGUCAGUUCGCGUGGAGGCUUCACCCAAGACACGCUGCUCCUCACGCCCGCACCACCGCGCCUCCCCGCCUCACCCGCACGCCCACUAAAUCGUGUGGUAACGAUGACGCAAUAACACAUUUGCAUGCGAUUGCGUGCAGUGAAGUGCCGGAACACGCAACGCCUUACGAAUGACGCUCUUAUGAGACACUAAAACAAUGAGUCACGCACACGCGCGCGCACGCCCCCGCCCGCGCCUCCGCCAGGGCGACACAGAAAACGGAGCGAGGUGUGCAGAAUAACGUGCUUUGUAAACAUGAACUAAAGGAAACAGAACGACUACCAAGGGAAAUAUGAGACGUGAGUGUGCGCGCGAGAACGGUGACGACGACGAUUGGGCAGGUAACACGACCUUGGUAGCACGGUGUUGUUUGUGGUGGUGGUGGUGGUGAGGCUUGCCCGCCACCAGCAGCGUCGCCGGCGUGAUGGUGGACCUCGGAGGCUACGUCAUAAUUCUGGUCGAGACGAAGGACAAGAAGAUCAAGCUGUAUGGUGAGUUUCGUGUCUCAUCAGGAACGUGAAAGGCUCCCCGGCGGACAAAGCUGACCUCGAAGUGGGGGACGAGAUCCUGGAGGUCAACGGCAAGAGCCUAGAGGACGCCACCCACACGGAGGUCAUCUCGCACAUACACCAGUGCAUAAGGUCGAGAACAAUAUGUCUUCG